Molecule: ribosomal RNA, 401 nt
Filed under: bacterium
Lineage: Bacteria
Description: partial 16S ribosomal RNA
Rfam family: Bacterial small subunit ribosomal RNA
Source: RNAcentral
UGGGGAAUUUUGCACAAUGGGGGAAACCCUGAUGCAGCGACGCCGCGUGAUUUAGAAGGCCUUCGGGUUGUAAAAAUCUUUUCUAUGGGAAGAAAAUGACAGUACCAUAGGAAUAAGGACCGGCUAAUUACGUGCCAGCAGCCGCGGUAAUACGUAAGGUCCGAGCGUUGUCCGAAUCAUUGGGCGUAAAGGGUACGUAGGCGGGUAAGCAAGUUAGAAGUGAAAUCCUAUAGCUCAACUAUAGUAAGCUUUUAAAACUGCUCAUCUUGAGGUAUGGAAGGGAAAGUGGAAUUCCUGGUGUAGCGGUGAAAUGCGCAGAUAUUAGGAGGAAUACCGGUGGCGAAGGCGACUUUCUGGCCAUAACCUGACGCUGAGGUACGAAAGCGUGGGUAGCAAACAGG